This 254-nucleotide ribosomal RNA is filed under the name uncultured bacterium. Its description in RNAcentral is "partial 16S ribosomal RNA". It matches the Rfam family "Bacterial small subunit ribosomal RNA", at positions 524 to 776 of the family's 1533-position model. The record is from RNAcentral.
UACGUAGGGUGCGAGCGUUGUCCGGAAUUAUUGGGCGUAAAGAGCUCGUAGGCGGUCUGUCGCGUCGAUCGUGAAAACUUGGGGCUUAACCCUGAGCUUGCGGUCGAUACGGGCAUGACUGGAGUUCGGCAGGGGAGACUGGAAUUCCUGGUGUAGCGGUGGAAUGCGCAGAUAUCAGGAGGAACACCAAUAGCGAAGGCAGCUCGCUGGGACGUUACUGACACUGAGGCGCGAAAGCGUGGGGAGCGAACAGG